This 254-nucleotide ribosomal RNA is filed under the name uncultured bacterium. RNAcentral describes it as "partial 16S ribosomal RNA". It matches the Rfam family "Bacterial small subunit ribosomal RNA", at positions 524 to 776 of the family's 1533-position model. The record is from RNAcentral.
UACGGGGGGAGCAAGCGUUGUUCGGAUUUACUGGGCGUAAAGGGCGCGUAGGCGGCCACCGCAAGUCGACUGUGAAAUCUCCGGGCUUAACCCGGAAAGGUCAACUGAUACUGUGCGGCUAGAGUGCGGAAGGGGCAACUAGAAUUCUUGGUGUAGCGGUGAAAUGCGUAGAUAUCAAGAGGAACACCUGCGGCGAAGGCGGGUUGCUGGGCCGACACUGACGCUGAGGCGCGAAAGCUAGGGGAGCGAACGGG